Long non-coding RNA from Vanessa tameamea, 756 nucleotides. RefSeq lists it as uncharacterized. Lineage: Eukaryota; Metazoa; Arthropoda; Insecta; Lepidoptera; Nymphalidae. The record is from RefSeq and is a predicted model, not a curated record. The transcript is spliced from 2 exons.
CAAAUUCUAAUUUACAAUUAGAUAGAAGUCAGUUUGACAGUCUAUGUUCGACUUGUCAUUGGAUAUUGGAAAUUGAAAUUUAAAAAUUGCUCUAAGACGCUUAAGUCUAAACGCAAACUAUAUCUUUAUCAUUAAAUAACUCAGAAUAAUACAGUAUUAGAAAACAUUACAAUGACUGCCAUGCCAUCCGAUUCUGAAUCAAACGUUAGUGGAUUUAUAAGAUAUAGCGAUAAAGAUUUCAAACAUCUUUAUACAUCCAUGAUAGAGAAUAUGGAGAUUAUCAACCAGGAUCUUUUACAAAUUGAAAAGAACAUGAAAAGUAUUGUACAGCAAUCUGGUCCAUUAGAGAGUCAACUUUCAGUACUAUUACAAUCCCUGCCAAAACAGAACCUCAACCUGCCUAUGGAGACUGAAUAAACAUAUUUAAUAUUUAAAUAAAUACAUUAUUAACACAAAUAGUAAGUAGCAUUUAAAAACCUCUUUUUUGUUAUAAAUCACUUAUGAGAAAAUAUUUUAAGUGAUUAUGUUGGUAGGUAUAUCAUAGUCCAAUAGUUUUUGAAAUAUAACAAAUCACUAUUGUUGUUACAUCAUGAUUUGGAAGUGUUUACUUUUAUUGUAAUAUAGGAAAAUUGUUUUUGUAAUUAUAAUAUAUAUUUAGGUUUCGUUUAUAAAAGCUAUAAUAUAUUGUAUUAGGGAUUAAUCUAAGUUAAUUAUUUUAUAUAACACUAACAAUGCAAUAAAGUUGAUUUCAGUGUA